RNAcentral lists this ribosomal RNA (253 nucleotides) under uncultured prokaryote. RNAcentral describes it as "partial 16S ribosomal RNA". It matches the Rfam family "Bacterial small subunit ribosomal RNA", at positions 525 to 777 of the family's 1533-position model. The record is from RNAcentral.
ACGGGGGGGGCAAGCGUUGUUCGGAAUUACUGGGCGUAAAGGGCUCGUAGGUGGCCAACUAAGUCAGACGUGAGAUCCCUCGGCUUAACCGGGGAACUGCGUCUGAUACUGGAUGGCUUGAGUUUGGGAGAGGGACGCGGAAUUCCAGGUGUAGCGGUGAAAUGCGUAGAUAUCGGAAGGAACAUCAGUGGCGAAAGCGACUUCCUGGACCAAUACUGACGCCCAUGUGCGAAAGCGUGGGGAGCAAACAGGA